Molecule: ribosomal RNA, 777 nt
Filed under: uncultured Neocallimastigales
Lineage: Eukaryota; Fungi; Neocallimastigomycota; Neocallimastigomycetes; Neocallimastigales
Description: partial large subunit ribosomal RNA
Rfam family: Eukaryotic large subunit ribosomal RNA
Source: RNAcentral
CGUCUAUAUACGUAUAGCAUAUCAAUAAGCGGAGGAAAAGAAACUAACAAGGAUUCCCUUAGUAACGGCGAGUGAAGCGGGAAGAGCUCAAAUUUGAAAUCUUCAAGGUUCUACCUUGACGAAUUGUAGUUUAAAGAAGUGUUUUCUGUUAGAGGAGUAGCAAAAGUUCCUUGGAAUAGGGACAUCAUAGAGGGUGAGAAUCCCGUAUUUGGUCAUUCUUUCUAGCUGUGUGAUACACUUUCAAAGAGUCGGAUUGUUUGGGAAUGCAGUCCAAAAUGGGUGGUAAAUUUCAUCUAAAGCUAAAUAUUGGCGAGAGACCGAUAGCGAACAAGUACCGUGAGGGAAAGAUGAAAAGAACUUUGAAAAGAGAGUUAAACAGUACGUGAAAUUGUCAAAAGGGAAGCGUUUGACACCAGUGUUGUUUUUCCGAAAAUCAAUUAAGAAUGGCUUGAUUUCGUGUUGUAUUGACCUUAUCAACUUUCUUCACUCUUUUUCGAGUCUUUCUUAACGCACUUUUCGGUUAACAAGUCAACAUCAAUUUCUUUUGUUGUAAAAGAGGUAUUUGGAAGGCGGCUUUCUUUUCGGAGAAAGUGUUUAUAGCCUUAUACCUCUACAAUCGGAGAGAUUGAGGUCUGCAGCGUAGAUCCUUCGGGGCUAGAUACACUUGUGCUAAGUUAUAGCUUUUCAUAGACAACUUGCUGACUAUGUUUAGUCAUGUAGCUUACCCGCUUGUGCUAUUUUACCUACGCUUAGGAUGUUGAGUCAUCACACAUCUCU